Long non-coding RNA from Rattus norvegicus (Norway rat), 3054 nucleotides. RefSeq lists it as uncharacterized. The record is from RefSeq and is a predicted model, not a curated record. NCBI's taxonomy places the organism in Eukaryota, Metazoa, Chordata, Mammalia, Rodentia, Muridae.
CGGCCUGGCUUCCCUGCCCUGCUGAAAGCAGAGAGGCUCACAGACGCACAGCUGGGAGGACUGUAUUUGUGGCGUCCGCAAGCUAAAUUUGAGAACCUGGAGCAGCCGGGCCAACUGCAGGCUCUGUAGCCGGAGACACACUGGAUACGUGAACCCUAACAACACAGCAGAGUAAGGAAAAGCUUAGAUGAAGAGGUGCCAGAAAUGGUACAAAACAGAAAGAUGCAAAGCAGCUUCCCAUUCAGCAGGGAUAAGGAAACAGACCCCAGGGGGUUUAUUUAUACAGAGGAUUGUGCUAUUCUUGGCACCCAGAAGGAGUCCUCUCUCAGCAGUGAGUGGGGACGUGGUUUAAGCACACGGCUACAGUUGGGAAGGCCGUGUGCAGCAGCAGAGUACCCGCCGACACGUCAUUCACCAUGUAAAGGAGCCACUCCCUUCUGAGAGCGGAGAGACUUACCUGCCCGUGUGGUUGUCUACACCCUAAGCCAAGGGCACCUUGACAGAAGCCCUUCAGCAGUUUGUUUCAGCAUAACCAAGAACUGGAGAUGAUACAUGUUUUUAAAGGAGAAGGAGAAUGAGAAGGAGGAGGAAGAGGAAAAGGAAAAGGAGGAGGAAGAGGAAGAGGAGGAAGAAGAGGAAGAGGAAGAGGAGGAGAAGGAGGAGGAGGAGGAGGAGGAGGAAGAAGCAGCACCAGCAGCUGGGCUCAGCAGCACACUUCUGUAAUCCCAGCCCAGGGGAGGCAGAAACAGGAGGAUCCCCUGGGGCUGGCUGGACAGCCAGUCUCUGAGUCUGCAGGCUCCAGGCUCAGUGAGAGACCCUGUCUCAAAGAGUAAGGGGGAGAGUGAUUGAAAAAGAUGCCCAAUGUCAAUGUCUGACCUCCACAUACAUGUGCACACACUCAAACACACUUCAUCACACACACACAAGCAAACAACAAAGAAAGACAACUUCGUCUUUUAGUGAGAUUCUAGCAUGCUGACUUAAUAAGAGAAAGAUAAGGACUCCAGGAAGGAGGGUCACCAGGUGUGAUAGACUUAACUCCCACACUCCCACAGCCUGCAGGACCCAGUGGGGACAGCAGCAUCUUGGACCCUAACCACCUGUGCUCUAAUUCAAAGACAAAGAUAUUUCCCAACUUGCCCAAGGCUCUGGCCAAGAAGACUCGGAUCCCCAAGCUCAGGUCAUUCUAGUGGGGCAAGAACCAGCUGGGUUUUCAGCUAUGUGGAUGGAGCCAUCUGUUUUGCUUGCCCACAUAAAAAAUAUGCACAAGGAGUGUGCAAAUCAGCAAAUCCACAGCUUCCAAAGGACCCAGCUGCGAUGCGCCCUCCCUUUGGGGACUAAUGAAAGGUAAAUCCAGUGUCAAAAGACGGAGGGCCAGCAGUAAGGCUAAGGAACCAACAAAUCAAACUCCAUCAUCUCUCCCUUGCUUUUGCCUGGAAUGCAGUCCAUCUGGCUCCCUAGCCACAUGGCCAUUGUGCUUGUGCGAGGGGCGCUGUGGUGCAUGCCGAGUGCCCGGAAAAUUACCAGCAGCCUCCUGCCUCUCCCACCACAGGCACCAGGAGCAGAUCACAUAAGAACUCCCUUCUCUGAUGCUCUUUGGUCUGCUGACUGCCUGGUUCACCCUCAGUCCUUCGUAUAAUGAGCCUGCUCCUGCUCAUCUAGGAAAACAUAUUUCAACCUGGUCAUCUGCUUGCCUGUGUGGUUUUCCCUGUUAAGAGAGUUCUGCACAAGAAAUGCCCAGAAGCCUUAACAAUGGUGGAAUGAAAGGCCUCUCCUCCGACCACAUACAGUUGUGCUCAACAGGAGCCAAGCAGAAGCACACCCGACGCUGUCAGCAGAAGCAGGACAUCUGCGCAGUACAGGCACACAGGAUUGGCAGCCCCUCCCUGGACUCAGAAUGCCACUUCCCUUGCUGGGACCUUGGUCUUUGCUUUCCCCACUAAGGUCUGUAUCGCUUAUUCCUGAGAAGCAGGAAAGUCUCAGAGUGAUGGGCUCCAGUCACGUGGAGAAAUAGAAACAGGAAAUUACAUGCAUGUCCCACUGAUGCCGCCAAAUCACGACCUACGGCAGGUGCCUGGAUUUGUCUGUGUUUGUGUGUUGGGUGUGACGUUCCUCUUCCUCUAAGCCUUCUCUCGGCUUUUCGGGUCCCCAGAAGCACGGGUAAAUGAAACAGAGAUGAGCUUGGCGUUGGAAAUGAAAUUCACCCCAGAAAGGAAGAGAAACACCAAGACAGCUGAGACCUGUGCAGGGAAAGCAUCCUUGUCUAACAGCCACGUUGCUACUUGGAAGUCUAUGUUUUACAGCUCUCUCUCUCUUCUCUUUCUCCAUGUGACUCAAUGGGGAGUCGAAGUUUCCAGGAUCUGAAACUGUAUGGAAAUAAUGUGGAAAUAAUUUGGCUUGCUUGUAGAAGUUAAUCAGCCAGGCAACACUUCUUGAUAAACAGAAGUACCAGUAAGUAUUGUCAAUUUUGUGGCCACACAGACAUCAAGGCAGCUAUUCAACUCCACCUCUGGCCCACAAAAGCAACCGUUUGUAGACCAUGCAUUACAAAAUGAGUGAAGAAGUACAUGCUGCCAGGAGCCUGAUAUAGCUGUCUCCUGAGAGGCUCUGCCAGAGCCUAACAAAUACAGAGGUGGAUGUUCCCAGCCAACCAUCGAACUGAGAAUGGGGUCCCCCAUGGAGGAGUUAGAGGAAGGAUUGAAGGAGCUGAAGGGGCUUGCAACCCCAUAAGAACAACAAUACCAACCAACCAGAGCUCCCAGGGACUAAACCACCAUCCAAAGAGUACACAUGGACAGACCCAUGGCUCUAGCUGCAUAUGUAGCAGAGGAUGGCCUUGCUGGGCAUCAAGGGGAGGAAAGGCCCUUGGUCCUAUGAAGGCUUGAUGUCCCAGUGUAGGGGAAUGCCAGGGCGGGGAGGCAGAAGGGAGUGGGAAGGUGGGCGGGGGAGCACCCUCAUAGAAGUAGGGGGAAUCAGGAAUGGGAUAGGGGGUUUCCAGAGGGAAACUGGGGAAGAGGAUAACAUUUGAAAUGUAAAUAAAGAAAAUAUCCAAUA